Molecule: ribosomal RNA, 165 nt
Filed under: Bacilli bacterium
Lineage: Bacteria; Bacillati; Bacillota; Bacilli
Description: partial 23S ribosomal RNA
Rfam family: Bacterial large subunit ribosomal RNA
Source: RNAcentral
UAAACGAGUGAAAUCAAACAUCUAAGCGGGAAGCCUCCUCCAAGAUGAAUUUUCCCAUUCUUCGUGAAGUAAGAUUCCUUGUAGACGACAAGGUUGAUAGGCUAGAGGUGGAAGCGUAGUGAUACGUUGAGCUGACUAGUACUAAUAGAUCGAGGAUUUAACUUA